RNAcentral lists this non-coding RNA (530 nucleotides) under Pongo abelii (Sumatran orangutan). The record is from RNAcentral. Lineage: Eukaryota; Metazoa; Chordata; Mammalia; Primates; Hominidae.
CACUGCCACUUUCACCAUCCCAUAUCCACACUUCGCAGAGACACCUGCAAAAACACUUCCAAUGCAAGACUCAGCCACAACUGAGCCUCAGAGUGUGACAUCUAGGGGACACGUUGACAACCACAGGAGAAACCAAAGAGAUCCAACAUUCUGCUGCUGCCAGGUGUUGAGGAAAUGCACACACCCUCAUGAGAGAGACAUAAACCGUCACAGAGCCUCAGAAGUGGAUGAAACUUCUUGGCCUGGAGGAUUAAAAAAAAAAAAGAAAGAAAGGAAAGCAUUGUGAGACUUUUGCCCCAUCACAGAUUGAAGGAAAAGGUGAAAAAAACAGAAUGUAGAAGUAAUAAAACUGCAGAGGCCUGUUAUCUAAACAUCUGACAUGACAUUACCCCAUCUUAUAAUUGAAAUUCUCAAGACUGAGUGACAAAAUCAAGAAAGAACAUGUGUUCUGAGAUAGCAUCAAUAGUAUGUUCUUUCUGUAAAUAAAGCACAUUAAUGUACUGAAUAAAAUAGAUUUCAAAAUUUGGUAA